Long non-coding RNA from Vespula vulgaris, 898 nucleotides. RefSeq lists it as uncharacterized. The record is from RefSeq and is a predicted model, not a curated record. The transcript has 5 exons. Lineage: Eukaryota; Metazoa; Arthropoda; Insecta; Hymenoptera; Vespidae.
UCUGUGUGUACUAACAAGUGGAAGGGAAGGUGUGUCGUCCUCCUAAUUACAGCUUAAAAUACUUCAUAUACUAAUAUGCUGGGUCUUCCUAAUGUUUCUAUUGGUGUGCAGCAUCUUGUCGGAGUAGAAAGCUCAUUGCGUAUAACCUCAAAAAACAUGGCCUCUGAAAUAUCUUUAUCAUUCUGGAAUGGAAUGUUCAUCGUGAAUAAACAAGGAAUAACAAGGAUUCUGCUUUAUAAAAGAAGAAUCUUCAUUAUUCUGGGGUAGGAUGCUCAUCGUGUAAGGAUCAACAAAGACUUGAAAUCAUCUUUGCAACUCUUUCGCGAAGCGAAGGAUGAAUCGAACGUUGCAUCGAAUAUUAAAAUAAAAAGGAAACGAUCGCGAAGUAGAUGCAGUGUUUGUACGUAUGUUAGAUUACAAUUUUUUCGCGACACGCGAUAUAAAUUAAUUUUUAAGAAAUGUGUACUUGUAUGGGCUGCGUGCAAUGCAGUCAGUUUUAGAGUCAGUGUCUUCUUCGUACAAAGUUUUGUUUUUUCUUUUUAUAGAGUGUAUUUGUAUGUAAUAGUAGAGUUUCGCGAAUUAAAUUCAGUGUCGUCUCGUAAUUAGUAAAUACUUAUCGCGUAUUAGAAUCAGUGCAGCAUCACAAGAUAGGUUUAUCUUACAACAAUUUCAACGUUCGUUGGAUAUCUCAUUUCUUUGACCUACAGGAUGACCUACAGGGCGAGUGUUUUGGAGCCAUCAGAGAACUUCAUAAGUAGUAUGUGAAAAAAACAAAAUUUCAUUGAUACGCGUUAUAUUUUCUACUACAGACCUACUCUAUUUUCUUUUUUUUUUUUUUGUAUUAAAGCGUUUAAGCGACUGUUUAUAUAUUUGCGUUCUCACGUAUUAUUUAUUAGCG